UACGUAGGGGGCAAGCGUUGUCCGGAAUCAUUGGGCGUAAAGAGCGUGUAGGCGGCCCGGUAAGUCCGCUGUGAAAGUCGAGGGCUCAACCCUCGAAUGCCGGCGGAUACUGUCGGGCUAGAGUCCGGAAGAGGCGAGUGGAAUUCCUGGUGUAGCGGUGAAAUGCGCAGAUAUCAGGAGGAACACCAACAGCGAAGGCAGCACUCUGGGCCGGUACUGACGCUGAGGAGCGAAAGCAUGGGGAGCGAACAGG
Molecule: ribosomal RNA, 253 nt
Filed under: uncultured bacterium
Lineage: Bacteria
Description: partial 16S ribosomal RNA
Rfam family: Bacterial small subunit ribosomal RNA
Source: RNAcentral